UUUCUGUCAAGGCCCAGCUCAUAUUGUUUUGCAGGUAGAGGUGGAGAGUCUCCCGACUCUUCACAUAUCACAGCCUUCGCGUACGUCUUUGUAACGGCUUCAAUUAUCUUCAGGUUAUAUUAAUCCAUCCAUUUACUCCUAUUCUCUCUAACUAAAUCGGCCAUAGCAUCCUCCUCUGUAAUAGACUGCUUCACCUAUCAAUGUCUCCACUGCUUGGGAUGAACAGUCCUACCAAAACCGAAAUCCCAAAUCCCAAAGGUCUCUCUCUCUCUCUCAAGCAUCAAAUCCAUCAGUGGCAGAAUUUGUUUACUCUGCUCGCCGAUUUAACUACGCCGAGCAACGACCGUGUUUUAUUAAAGCUUUGUUACACAGAGCUGCUCACUUAGGAAUGAAUCAGUUCAAGGAUGUUAUCAACGUUUACUUUAUACGAAGGGGCUUGCCAUUGAUCCAAGCAACGUAGCGUACACAAUCAUGUUUGGCAGACCCUUAAGGUUUUGUGUCUGACACGCCAUCAUGGAUCCAUUUGGAUGUGUUGGAGAAACUAAUAACGGACUAUUCAGCGACAUGUUUUUUUUUGUGAAGCCACUUGAUUUCCUAAACAUUUGGAUUUAGGCGGGUGAAGCAGCGGUGGAUCAGGAGGAUAAGAUUGUUGUGCCUCCAAGGAAGGAGCAUGAGGUAGAGAAGAAACAAGAACCGAAGCAUGAACCUGAGCCGGACUUUGGAGAAUAAAGAGAGGAAGAUAAAAGCUUUGAAGGAAAAAGAUGGAGAAUUCGGCAUACAAUGACUUCAAAACACUAUAAAGAAUUACUCAAAGCCAUGGAAAUUAUUGUUGAAUAUAUAUCUUUAUCACAAAUCAUCCUGCUGUAAUCUGGAGAUGGCAAAGUAUGAUGAGUGCAUCAAGGAUUGUGAUAAGGCUGUUGAAAAAGUCUAU
Long non-coding RNA from Brassica oleracea var. oleracea, 931 nucleotides. RefSeq lists it as uncharacterized. The record is from RefSeq and is a predicted model, not a curated record. Lineage: Eukaryota; Viridiplantae; Streptophyta; Magnoliopsida; Brassicales; Brassicaceae. The transcript is spliced from 4 exons.